RNAcentral lists this ribosomal RNA (465 nucleotides) under uncultured bacterium. RNAcentral describes it as "bacterial SSU rRNA". It matches the Rfam family "Bacterial small subunit ribosomal RNA", at positions 198 to 644 of the family's 1533-position model. The record is from RNAcentral.
GGAGGAAAGCAGGGGAUCGCAAGACCUUGCGCUUUUGGAGCGGCCGAUGCCUGAUUAGCUUGUUGGUGAGGUAAAAGCUCACCAAGGCUCCGAUCAGUAGCUGGUCUGAGAGGACGACCAGCCACACUGGGACUGAGACACGGCCCAGACUCCUACGGGAGGCAGCAGUGGGGAAUUUUGGACAAUGGGGGCAACCCUGAUCCAGCCAUGCCGCGUGAGUGAAGAAGGCCUUCGGGUUGUAAAGCUCUUUCAGCCGGAACGAAACGGUCACGGUUAAUACCCGUGACUACUGACGGUACCGGAAGAAGAAGCACCGGCUAACUACGUGCCAGCAGCCGCGGUAAUACGUAGGGUGCGAGCGUUAAUCGGAAUUACUGGGCGUAAAGUGUGCGCAGGCGGUUUUGUAAGUCAGAUGUGAAAUCCCCGGGCUUAACCUGGGAACUGCGUUUGAAACUACAAAGCUAG